ACCCAGCCAACGAAUCUCAAAUAGGACGAAACGCGUGUCAAACUGGAU
Molecule: non-coding RNA, 48 nt
Filed under: Schistosoma mattheei
Lineage: Eukaryota; Metazoa; Platyhelminthes; Trematoda; Strigeidida; Schistosomatidae
Source: RNAcentral